UCAAUUUCUUUCAUUGAUUGGUCAUGGAAAAUGAGCUUCCAUUGUUAUUUAUUGCAAUUUAUAGUUGUAAAUAUUUUUCAGAUCUGAACAAACUUUUUCCAUGUUUUUUCGGGGAGGUUUCUUAAAAAAUCAAGAUAUUAGAAAAAUAAUUCUUCCCAUUUUCAAUCGGUCAUCCAAUUCACUCAAAAUGUCCGUUGAAGCUCCAACAAUUGAAACUUCUCAAAAUUUUACUCCUAUUUAAAGUCAUUCAUUGGAUUGUUGUUUGCCGAUGGUACUCUUGAAUAAAUCAACAACUUCUCAUCAGCUAAUGGUGGUUGAAUUUCAGAUGCAGGUGGGUACCAUGUAAUCUUAGUAGAGUCGGGCACCUCAGGAUUUGUAAAAGUGCAGAGGAAGUUGACUGAUAAACUCAUUUGCACUUGACUCACUAAAUUGCAGGUCUUGUGUUCUCGUAUUCACCUUGUGGAUCAGAUUUCCCUGUAGAGUUUUUGCUACUGCUGCUCUCCUGAGAAUCCUCCUCAUUUGUCCCUUCCCUUCUUCUACUGAAAUCGUAUGGAGAUCUGUUGACUUCAUUGGAAUCUUUUUUCCUCCCUAUUGUCUUUAUUACGGUGUUGUGCCUUAUUUUGGGGAUUUGCAUCUAUAGAAUCAUUGUUUGCAGUGCUAGUUACAAUUUUACAUGUUGCGGCUACUUGUGGAUGUGGUCGAACUUGAGUUGUUUCUUCAUUAGCUUAAUGUUAUCAUCAUGUAUAAAAUGUCGCAUUUGGUAGAGAUAUCAAUUAUGUAAUAAGCAUUCUUAGUCAAAAAUCAUAUGAGAAUUUGCCAACCACGACAUAUUACAACUUCUCAUUUAGCCACUUCCUACUCUGUCCACCUCACGGUAUGAAUACUAUCCACAACAGCAAUUUAGGUUCAGUAUCACAAUUCAAGUUCAACGCAAUUAUAACAUUGAGUUUCAUGA
Solanum pennellii is the source of this 955-nucleotide long non-coding RNA. RefSeq lists it as uncharacterized. NCBI's taxonomy places the organism in Eukaryota, Viridiplantae, Streptophyta, Magnoliopsida, Solanales, Solanaceae. The transcript is spliced from 2 exons. The record is from RefSeq and is a predicted model, not a curated record.